GACACUUGUGGAGGAGUCGGCAGAGCAGGC
RNAcentral lists this non-coding RNA (30 nucleotides) under Homo sapiens (human). Lineage: Eukaryota; Metazoa; Chordata; Mammalia; Primates; Hominidae. The record is from RNAcentral.